GACAGAGGUGCCAAGCGUUAGGCGGAAUCACUGGGCUUAAAGCGUGUGUAGGCGGAAUUGUAAGUACCUUGUGAAAUCCCACGGCUCAACCGUGGAACUGCUUGGUAUACUGCUUUUCUUGAGCCACUUAGGGGCUACCGGAACAAAUGGUGGAGCGGUGAAAUGCGUAGAUAUCAUUUGGAACGCCAAUGGUGAAAACAGGUAGCUGGGAGUGUGCUGACGCUGAGGCGCGAAAGCCAGGGGAGCAAACGGG
This 253-nucleotide ribosomal RNA is filed under the name uncultured bacterium. Its description in RNAcentral is "partial 16S ribosomal RNA". It matches the Rfam family "Bacterial small subunit ribosomal RNA", at positions 524 to 776 of the family's 1533-position model. The record is from RNAcentral.